CUCCUGUCCUUUGCAUCAUGGUCUAGCUAGUCCCCCCAAGCAAAAAGAAAUUUAAGUUUGACCUCCCGAAACUAAGCGAGCUACUUCGAAACAGCCUAUCAGGGCCAACCCGUCUCUGUUGCAAUAGAGUGGGAAGAUUUCCAAGUAGCGAUGACAAGUCUACCGAGCUUAGAGAUAGCUGGUUCCUCAAGAAAAGAAUAUAAGUUCUGCCUUAAACCUCCUCAUUUCCUAUAAAAGCUAACCAGGUUUAAGAGUUAUUCAAAUAAGGCACAGCUUAUUUGAAUCAGGAUACAACCUCUAAUAUUGGGCUCACCCCAUCCUUUUAACCAAGUAGGCCUAGCAGCAGCCACCUUUCAGAAAGCGUUACAGCUUCACUAUACCCCUUCCCUCAAUUCCUAACCCCUCUGUCAACCCUAUCCUCCUAUUGAGUAAUUCUAUACCCUAUAGAAAUUAUAAUGCUAGAACUAGUAACAAGAAAACGACUUUCUCCUAAAUGCAUGCAUAAAUCAGAUGGACAAACCACUGAUAAUUAACGUUUACUGAUCCCUACUAUAACAACCCCCUCCCGAAAACAUUAUAACUUCCCCAAACGUUUACCUCACACCAGAGCACUCCAGGAAAGAUUAAAAGAAAAAGAAGGAAUUCGGCAAACUUUGGGCCCGCCUGUUUAC
RNAcentral lists this ribosomal RNA (671 nucleotides) under Indirana cf. leptodactyla MV-2003. RNAcentral describes it as "partial 16S ribosomal RNA". The record is from RNAcentral. Lineage: Eukaryota; Metazoa; Chordata; Amphibia; Anura; Ranixalidae.